RNAcentral lists this ribosomal RNA (468 nucleotides) under uncultured bacterium. RNAcentral describes it as "partial 16S ribosomal RNA". It matches the Rfam family "Bacterial small subunit ribosomal RNA", at positions 28 to 507 of the family's 1533-position model. The record is from RNAcentral.
GACGAACGCUGGCGGCGUGCUUAACACAUGCAAGUCGAACGGUGAAGCUCCAGCUUGCUGGAGUGGAUCAGAGGCGAACGGGUGAGUAACACGUGAGCAACCUCCCCCUGACUUAGGAAUAAGCGCUGGAAACGGCGUCUAAUACUGGAUACGAGAAGGGUCCGCAUGGGCACUUUCUGGAAAGUUUUUCGGUUGGGGAUGGGCUCGCGGCCUAUCAGCUUGUUGGUGUGGUAAUGGCUCACCAAGGCGACGACGGGUAGCCGGCCUGAGAGGGCGACCGGCCACACUGGGACUGAGACACGGCCCAGACUCCUACGGGAGGCAGCAGUGGGGAAUAUUGCACAAUGGGCGAAAGCCUGAUGCAGCGACGCCGCGUGAGGGAUGACGGCCUUCGGGUUGUAAACCUCUUUCAGCAGGGAAGAAGCGAAAGUGACGGUACCUGCAGAAGAAGCACCGGCUAACUACGUG